Long non-coding RNA from Magnolia sinica, 1332 nucleotides. RefSeq lists it as uncharacterized. The record is from RefSeq and is a predicted model, not a curated record. Lineage: Eukaryota; Viridiplantae; Streptophyta; Magnoliopsida; Magnoliales; Magnoliaceae. The transcript is spliced from 6 exons.
UCCAAACAAAGGCUACCAUGAAAAUUUACUUUACACAGAUCUAUCAUGGCCUGUUAUUGAGGAGAACACUUUAUUUAAGUGCUAGUUUAUUCUUGUUUUUGCACUUGCUUUACUGAAAAAAUUGUUUAUAUGUAUAUUAAUUUCUUCAUCCUCAACAUUCCAAGUUAAACCGUUCUUAUAGUAAUUAUAAAAUUUGCCUUUAUAGUUGGAAAUGCCGGAAGCCUGGCCACCUUGCUGAGGAUUGUUUAGUGACAUUUCAUUCACCACACCUUUCCAUGAAUCAAUCAUGUGAUCCGGUACCCAAGAGAGACCAUAAAUCUGGUUUUAUAUCUGAAGAUAUUCUUGCUCUCUACAAAAGUGAAAUACACUGGCAAACUUGAAGAUGGAACAGUUUUUGAGAGGAAAGGAACUGAUGAAGAGCCUCUAGAGUUCAUGUGUUUUGUAGCCACCAACUGCCUGCAUGACAUCAACCUCCUUUAGCCUGGCUUGAGAACAUCUAGUGCAAUUGCUACCAGGCAGGGUUCACUGCACCAAAAGUUUGAGCAGUAACAGUAACAGUAGCAGUAACAACUCCACCAGAGAUUUCCGAAUUCUGGAGCCAUGCGAAAGUAAUCUUGCUUAUCAGCCCAAUAUGCUGAAGAAGAAAGCAUGGUCAAGUCGUGAAAAGUAUAUCUCAGAGGCUAUUCAAGGGGUUGGAAGAAAAGGUACGGCAGCAGUGCCAAGGAAUCCUCUGUAUCCAAGUAUUGGUGGUAGGGGUGCCGCUUCUGGUAAUAUUGAUCAGAGAGCAAAAGGACAUCUAGACGGAAUGCAGAGCUCUGGGAGGGCCACUGUCUGAUGAAACUCGAGAAGCUCUUCCUAAGGCACUUCUGGAACUUUUUCAUGUUCAUAAAGUUUGCAGGUGAUGCUUAUACUUCUUUCUAUUUUCACUUAUUUGAUCUCCUUCAGCAGCUAGAGCAUAUUUUCAGUUUCGGUACUUACAAGCUGAUAAGCAGUCAAUCAACCUUUCAUUCCUAUGGAUUUUAUUUGUGCAUCUGUUUGUGUUCCAUAUUUUACAUAUUAUAUGGGAACCUAUUUGUAAACCACCAACUCAUUUAAAGAAAAGACAGGUAAACCUUGUCUCAACUUUUGACAAUUAAUUGGAAUGGAAUGGAACAGGUCUGUUUAUCUUUUAGCAGCACUGGCAGAAGCUGGAUUCCUCAUUGGAUUGGAAUGGAAUAGGUCUGUAUAUACAUUUUUUCCAUCAUGAAGGGCUUGUCUUGUGUAAGAUUUUUAGUUAUCAAUAGAAAAAGGAAAAUCUUUUAGUUCUGUAUUGCAUUAUUCUUCUGAUAUUGA